This 249-nucleotide ribosomal RNA is filed under the name uncultured bacterium. RNAcentral describes it as "partial 16S ribosomal RNA". It matches the Rfam family "Bacterial small subunit ribosomal RNA", at positions 61 to 339 of the family's 1533-position model. The record is from RNAcentral.
GUCGAGCGAAGUCUUCGGACUUAGCGGCGGACGGGUGAGUAACGCGUGGGAACAUACCCUUUGGUACGGAAUAGCCUCGGGAAACUUGGGCUAAUACCGUAUACGCACUAUGGUGGAAAGAAUUUCGCCGUGGGAGGGGCCCGCGUAGGAUUAGCUAGUUGGUGGGGUAAUGGCCCACCAAGGCUUCGAUCCUUAGCUGGUCUGAGAGGAUGAUCAGCCACACUGGGACUGAGACACGGCCCAGACUCC